GGGUGGACACUGCCAUCAGAACCACGGGCCCCAGGGUUCCGGAAAGAUGCCAUCCUGGACCCUCCCCUAUGCCCCUCUCCUCCCUUCAGAGCUCUGAGCAUGCUGUACGUUGAUGCAGAUACAUUGGCCUGUAUGCCUUCCCCUUCUCUGGCUCAGGGCUGGGCACACGCCUGGACCCUGGGAUGAACACCCUUCGAGUAGAUCUGAGCCCAGUCCUCAGAGAGAAGCCAAACCCAGCCAAGUCCUGCUUACAUCAGCUGAACCCCCGCCAACCUGCAGAGGUGUGCGAGAGAAACAAAUGCAUAUUGUGGUAUGUCCCUGAGGAUCUGUGAUUGUUUGUCACCCAGCGACAGCUGACUUCUACAGCCACACACUACCAUCUGCUCCCAGUGUGUUUGUGUUCACUCCCAAUUCCCUGGAUUCCAACUUCAGACUCCUGACCCCGACUUCAGUAAGGGUCUCGUGCCUCUCCAUCCAGCUAGGACCUUGGCUGAUCUCUCCGUGCCACCUCUGGGGAGGCCUCCUCAUGUCAGGCCCCAGCAGUGGGGCAGAGGGGUGGUGAGGAGAUCUGGAAAAUUAUAGGAUUUCCCUUGUUGUGCUGGAUUGAAUUAAUUACAUGUCUGUGAACCUUCUAGGCCAGCACUGUGCAACAGAAACAGAAUGUGAGCCAGGUGUAUAAUCUAAAAUUUUUCAGUAGCUACAUUAAAAAGUAAAAAAGAGGCCAGGUGCAGUGGCUUACACCUGUAGUCCCAGCACUUUGGGAGAUUACAGGGCAGGGAAUCACUUGAAGCCAGGAGUUCAAGGCCAGUCUGGGCAAUAAAGUGAGAUCCUGUCUCUAUAAAAUAUUAAAAAAUUAGCUGGGCAUGAUGGUGCACACCUCUAGUCCCAGCUACUCAAGAGGCUGAGGUAGGAGGAUUGCUUGAGCCCAGGAAUUGGAGGCUGCAGUGAGCUGUGAUCGUGCCACCGCACUCCAGCCUGGGUGACAGAGUGAGACCCUGUCUCAAAAAUAAAUAAAUAAUUAAUUAGUUAAGAAAUAAACAAUUAAUUAGUUUAAGUAAAAAGAAAGUGAAAUUAAUUCUAAUAAUACAUUAAAUUUAGCCCAAUAUACCCCAAAUAUUAUUUCAACAUGUAACCAACAUUAAUUACUUAAAUUAUUAUAUGUUUCUAAUAUAUUAUAUAUACGCAUUAUUUAACAGAUAUUUUGCAUUCCUUUUCAUGCCCAGCCUCUGAGGUCCAGCGUGUAUUUAACAGGCACGGCAUGCCUCACUUCAGACCGGCCACAUCUCAGUCCUUAACAGCCAUAUGUGGCUUACGGCUACCAUACUGGACAGCGCAGCUCUGAAUAAUGGAAGGCAAAACUCCAUGUCACCAGUGUGUAACGUGGUGCCUGGCACACAAGGGGCACUCAGUAAAUAAGUCCUGAAUGGAUGAAUGAUAAACACAUAGGCAUUGCUUUAAAGCUGAGAACAGGUGGGCAGACCUGUUACCCACGGGGAAAAAAAAAAUGCCUAUGGCUUAGACCCAUCAAAUUUUCAUUAUAACGGAUGGUGGUGUUUUGGAAGGCCACGUUGGCUGGUGCUGUGUCUGCGUCUGAAGCAGACUUGCUCAAAGGGGUCAUAUGUGAUGAAAAUACAACCUCAGGCAGCAUUUCCCAAACUUGUCUGACCACUGCAUGUUAUUUAAAUUGUUCUGUUUUUGUCAGGAUGCCAAUAGAGCAUCCUUAUGUGAUACUGUUUAAGUUGAAGCAGACAGAAAAAAAAUGAUCUCAGAGUUGAAUUAAUUGCUGUAAGAAAUGAUCAAAAUUUGAUUCAUAUGCUU
Long non-coding RNA from Homo sapiens (human), 1818 nucleotides. NCBI's taxonomy places the organism in Eukaryota, Metazoa, Chordata, Mammalia, Primates, Hominidae. The record is from Ensembl.